RNAcentral lists this ribosomal RNA (335 nucleotides) under uncultured bacterium. RNAcentral's name for it is "bacterial SSU rRNA". It matches the Rfam family "Bacterial small subunit ribosomal RNA", at positions 8 to 334 of the family's 1533-position model. The record is from RNAcentral.
AGAGUUCGAUUAUGGCUCAGGAUGAACGCUAGCUACAGGCUUAACACAUGCAAGUCGAGGGGCAGCAUAGUCUUAGCUUGCUAAGACUGAUGGCGACCGGCGCACGGGUGAGUAACACGUAUCCAACCUGCCGUCUACUCUUGGACAGCCUUCUGAAAGGAAGAUUAAUACAAGAUGGCAUCAUGAGUCCGCAUGUUCACAUGAUUAAAGGUAUUCCGGUAGACGAUGGGGAUGCGUUCCAUUAGAUAGUAGGCGGGGUAACGGCCCACCUAGUCUUCGAUGGAUAGGGGUUCUGAGAGGAAGGUCCCCCACAUUGGAACUGAGACACGGUCCAA